CUACGGGAGGCAGCAGUGGGGAAUAUUGCACAAUGGGCGCAAGCCUGAUGCAGCCAUGCCGCGUGUAUGAAGAAGGCCUUCGGGUUGUAAAGUACUUUCAGCGGGGAGGAAGGGAGUAAAGUUAAUACCUUUGCUCAUUGACGUUACCCGCAGAAGAAGCGCCGGCUAACUCCGUGCCAGCAGCCGCGGUAAUACGGAGGGUGCAAGCGUUAAUCGGAAUUACUGGGCGUAAAGCGCGCGCAGGUGGUUUGGUAAGUCAGAUGUGAAAUCCCCGGGCUCAACCUGGGAACUGCAUCUGAUACUGGCAAACUUGAGUCUCGUAGAGGGGGGUAGAAUCCCAGGUGUAGCGGUGAAAUGCGUAGAGAUCUGGAGGAAUACCGGUGGCGAAGGCGGCCCCCUGGACGAAGACUGACGCUCAGGUGCGAAAGCGUGGGGAGCAAACAGGAUUAGAUACCCUUGUAGUC
Molecule: ribosomal RNA, 464 nt
Filed under: uncultured bacterium
Lineage: Bacteria
Description: partial 16S ribosomal RNA
Rfam family: Bacterial small subunit ribosomal RNA
Source: RNAcentral